Oncorhynchus gorbuscha (pink salmon) is the source of this 765-nucleotide long non-coding RNA. RefSeq lists it as uncharacterized. The transcript has 2 exons. The record is from RefSeq and is a predicted model, not a curated record. Lineage: Eukaryota; Metazoa; Chordata; Actinopteri; Salmoniformes; Salmonidae.
AAACUGUCCCAAAAUGUUUCAUCUUGAAACAAUGAGGAGAGAAAAUGGCAGCCUCGUGACAAAAUAGACACACAAGAGGAAAAAGAUGGCGGAAGUGGAUGCUGAGUUCGAAUCAAGCCAAUAUGCCAUAGAAGAAGAAGAGGAAGAUCCGGAGUUGAUGAUGGAAUCGCUGAUGACAGUUCAGAUGAAGAGACACCUCUUAAGACCAGGAAAACAACAAUGGAUGAGCUCCUGAAAGACUGAAGAAACUUCUAGAUAGGAUCCUUCAUCUCAAUUUCCGCCUAAAAUGUCAUACCUAAAUCUAACUGCCUGUAGCUCAGGACCUGAAGCAAGGAUAUGCAUUUUCCUGAUACUAUUUGAAAGGAAACACUUUGAUGUUUGUGAAGAUGUGAAAUGACUGUAGGAGAAUAUAACACAACAGAUCUGGUAAAAGAUAAAACCAACAGGAAAAACAUUUUCUAUUUGUAUUUUUGUUGCAUCAUCUUUGAAAUGGAACAGAAAAACCAUACAUUGAGAUAGGAAGCUGCAGAUCAUUUAGAUGUUGUCCACAACAGGGCAAUUGUGUGUGUGCAAAGUGUCAAACGGAUACAUUUAAGAAUGAGAGAGCUACAUAAUAUUUAGUAUGAAGUCUCCCAGGUGUCCCUCACGAGUUUGCCCAAAUGUACCCAAGUGGCCGAAUUGGUCAAUUGCAACAUUUUCAAGUACAUAGCUAGAGAGAACAUACAAACAUGCUAUGGUAAUAAACAAUUUAAGUUUACACACAAA